Molecule: ribosomal RNA, 464 nt
Filed under: uncultured bacterium
Lineage: Bacteria
Description: bacterial SSU rRNA
Rfam family: Bacterial small subunit ribosomal RNA
Source: RNAcentral
GAUGAACGCUUGCUGUGUGGAUAAGGCAUGCAAGUCGAAUGGGUUUAGACCCAUGGCAGACGAGGUAGUAACACGUAGGAUAACGUGCUUCCAAGUCAGGCAUAACCCGAAGAAAUUCGGAAUAAUUCCUGAUAGUCUUGCAAAAUAAUUUUUUGUAAGUAAAGAUUUAUCGCUUGGAAAACGGCCUGCGCAGUAUCAGCUAGACGGUAGGGUAAUGGCCUACCGUGGCUACGACGCUUAGGGGAGGUGAGAGCCUGACCCUCACCGAUGGGACUGAGACACGGCCCAUACUCCUACGGGAGGCCGCAGUCGAGAAUCUUCCACAAUGGACGAAAGUCUGAUGGAGCGACACAGCGUGACUGAUGAAGUUUUUUAAAUGUAAAAGUCUUUUAUAAGCCAAGAAGUUUAUUGACUAGCUUAUGAAUAAGAGGCUGCUAAUCACGUGCCAGCCGCCGCCGUAACAC